This 253-nucleotide ribosomal RNA is filed under the name uncultured bacterium. RNAcentral's name for it is "partial 16S ribosomal RNA". It matches the Rfam family "Bacterial small subunit ribosomal RNA", at positions 524 to 776 of the family's 1533-position model. The record is from RNAcentral.
GACGGAGGGGGCGAGCGUUGUUCGGAUUUAUUGGGCGUAAAGGGCGUGUAGGCGGCCAGAUAAGUCAGAUGUGAAAGCCCCUGGCUUAACCAGGGAAGCGCGUCUGAUACUGUCUGGCUUGAGGGCGGGAGAGGAGAGUGGAAUUCCCGGUGUAGCGGUGAAAUGCGUAGAUAUCGGGAAGAACACCGGUGGCGAAGGCGGCUCUCUGGACCGCUUCUGACGCUGAGACGCGAAAGCUAGGGGAGCAAACGGG